This 492-nucleotide ribosomal RNA is filed under the name uncultured bacterium. Its description in RNAcentral is "bacterial SSU rRNA". It matches the Rfam family "Bacterial small subunit ribosomal RNA", at positions 28 to 517 of the family's 1533-position model. The record is from RNAcentral.
GAUGAACGCUAGCGGCAGGCAUAAUACAUGCAAGUUGAACGGGAUUCAGAUAGCAAUAUUUGAUGAGAGUGGCGCACGGGUGCGUAACACGUAUGCAACUUACCUUAAACUGGGAGAUAGCCCGUGGAAACAUGGUUUAAUAUCCCAUAGUAUAAAGAACAGGCAUUUGUUUUUUAUUAAAGCUCCGGCGGUUUAAGAUGGGCAUGCGCGUCAUUAGCUAGAUGGAGAGGUAACGGCUCACCAUGGCAACGAUGACUAGGGGGUCUGAGAGGAUGUCCCCCCACACUGGUACUGAGACACGGACCAGACUCCUACGGGAGGCAGCAGUAGGGAAUAUUGGGCAAUGGACGCAAGUCUGACCCAGCCAUGCCGCGUGCAGGAAGACGGCCCUCUGGGUUGUAAACUGCUUUUAUCAGGGAAGAAACCCUUCUACGUGUAGGAGGCUGACGGUACCUGAGGAAUAAGGAUCGGCUAACUCCGUGCCAGCAGCCG